CCUACGGGAGGCAGCAGUGAGGAAUAUUGGUCAAUGGACGAGAGUCUGAACCAGCCAAGUAGCGUGAAGGAUGACUGCCCUAUGGGUUGUAAACUUCUUUUAUAAAGGAAUAAAACGAGGCACGUGUGCCUUUUUGCAUGUACUUUAUGAAUAAGGAUCGGCUAACUCCAUGCCAGCAGCCGCGGUAAUACGGAGGAUCCGAGCGUUAUCCGGAUUUAUUGGGUUUAAAGGGAGCGUAGGUGGGUUGUUAAGUCAGUUGUGAAAGUUUGCGGCUCAACCGUAAAAUUGCAAUUGAUACUGGCAGACUUGAGUACAUUUGAGGUAGGCGGAAUGCGUGGUGUAGCGGUGAAAUGCAUAGAUAUCACGAAGAACCCCGAUUGCGAAGGCAGCUUACUAAGCUAUGACUGACAUUGAUGCACGAAAGUGUGGGGAUCAAACAGGAUUAGAUACCCUGGUAGUC
RNAcentral lists this ribosomal RNA (460 nucleotides) under uncultured bacterium. RNAcentral's name for it is "partial 16S ribosomal RNA". It matches the Rfam family "Bacterial small subunit ribosomal RNA", at positions 338 to 795 of the family's 1533-position model. The record is from RNAcentral.